Molecule: ribosomal RNA, 433 nt
Filed under: uncultured bacterium
Lineage: Bacteria
Description: partial 16S ribosomal RNA
Rfam family: Bacterial small subunit ribosomal RNA
Source: RNAcentral
AACGAACGCUGGCGGCAUGCCUACCACAUGCAAGUCGAACGAGACCUUCGGGUCUAGUGGCGCACGGGUGCGUAACGCGUGGGAACCUGCCCUUAGGUUCGGAAUAACUCCCCGAAAGGGGUGCUAAUACCGGAUAAUGUCUUCGGACCAAAGAUUUAUCGCCUUUGGAUGGGCCCGCGUUGGAUUAGCUAGUUGGUAGGGUAAAAGCCUACCAAGGCGACGAUCCAUAGCUGGUCUGAGAGGAUGAUCAGCCACACUGGGACUGAGACACGGCCCAGACUCCUACGGGAGGCAGCAGUGGGGAAUAUUGGACAAUGGGCGAAAGCCUGAUCCAGCAAUGCCGCGUGAGCGAUGAAGGCCUUAGGGUUGUAAAGCUCUUUUACCCGGGAUGAUAAUGACAGUACCGGGAGAAUAAGCUCCGGCUAACUCCGUG